UACGUAGGGCGCAAGCGUUGUCCGGAAUUAUUGGGCGUAAAGAGCUCGUAGGCGGCUUGUCACGUCGGGUGUGAAAGCCCGGGGCUCAACCCCGGAAUUGCCUUUAAGACUGCAUCGCUUGAAUCCGGGAGAGGUGAGUGGAAUUCCGGGUGUAGCGGUGGAAUGCGUAGAGAUCCGGAAGAACACCGGUGGCGAAGGCGGUCUGCUGGGGUAAUGCUGACACUGAUGCGCGACAGCGUGGGGAGCAAACAGG
RNAcentral lists this ribosomal RNA (253 nucleotides) under uncultured bacterium. RNAcentral describes it as "partial 16S ribosomal RNA". It matches the Rfam family "Bacterial small subunit ribosomal RNA", at positions 524 to 776 of the family's 1533-position model. The record is from RNAcentral.